GAGUUUGAUCCUGGCUCAGGGUGAACACUAGUGGUGCGCCUAACACAUGCAAGUUGAGCGAGAACCUAAAAUGCUUGCAUUCUAGGAGACAGCAGCAAACGGGUGAGUAACACAUUGGAAUCUGCCCCCAAGACAGGGAUAGCCAGGAGAAAUCCUGAUUAAUACCGGAUACCCUCUAAGGAGGAAAGAACUUUGCUUGGGGAGGAGCCUGUGGACUAUCAGCUAGUUGGUAAGGUAAAAGCUUACCAAGGCAAUGACAGAUAGCUGGUCUGAGAGGACGAUCAGCCACAAUGGAACUGAGACACGGUCCAUACUCCUACGGGAGGCAGCAGUGAGGAAUCUUCCACAAUGGGCGGAAGCCUGAUGGAGCGACACCACGUGAAGGAAGAAGGCCUAACGGUUGUAAACUUCUUUUCUGGAGGAGCAAAAUGAGAGUACUCCAGGAAUAAGGGACGGCUAAAUAUGUGCCAGCAGCCGCGGUAAUACGUAUGUCCCAAGUGUUACCCGGAAUUAUUGGGUGUAAAGGGUCUGUAGGUGGAGUAACAAGUUAUAUAUGAAAGACUAGAGCUCAACUCUAAGUAUGUAUGUAAAACUAUUACCCUAGAAUUAGGGAGAGGUAAGCGGAAUUCUGAGUGUAGGAGUGCAAUCCGUAGAUACUCAGAAGAACACCAAAAGCGAAGGCAGCUUACUGGAACUACAUUGACACUGAGAGACGAAAGCGUGGGGAGCGAAAAGGAUUAGAUACCCUUGUAGUCCACGCCCUAAACGAUGAUAACUAGGUGUUGGGGCCAGACCCCAGUGCUGAAGUAAACACAUUAAGUUAUCCACCUGAGAAGUACGGUCGCAAGAUUAAAACUCAAAGGAAUAGACGGGGACCCACACAAGCAGUAGAUCACGUGGUUUAAUUCGAUAAUAAACGGGGAACCUUACCUAGGCUUGACAUCCUGAGAACACUCUAGAAACAGAGAAGUGCCUUUAUUGGAACUCAGAGACAGGUGCUGCAUGGUUGUCGUCAGCUCGUGCCUUGAGGUGUUCAGUUAAGUCUGUUAACGAGCGCAACCCAUGUCACUAGUUACACAUGUCUAGUGAGACUGCCUUGGUUAACAAGGAGGAAGGUGUGGAUGACGUCAAAUCAGCAUGGCUCUUACGCCUAGGGCUACACACAUGAUACAAUGGUAUGAACAAAAGGAAGUGAAACAGCAAUGUGGAACCAAUCCCCAAAACAUAUCCUAGUCCGGAUUGGAGUCUGAAAUUCGACUCCAUGAAGUUGGAAUUGCUAGUAAUCGUGAAUCAGAUAUGUCACGGUGAAUAAGUUCCUGGGUCUUGUACUCACUGCCCGUC
RNAcentral lists this ribosomal RNA (1341 nucleotides) under uncultured bacterium. RNAcentral describes it as "bacterial SSU rRNA". It matches the Rfam family "Bacterial small subunit ribosomal RNA". The record is from RNAcentral.